UCUUGUAACGACCUAGUAAUAGGUAUGCUUUAGGAGGGGCUUGCGCCAUAUUAGUUAGUUGGUAGGGUAAUGGCCUACCAAGACGAUGAUGUGUAGCUGGACUGAGAGGUUGAACAGCCACAUUGGGACUGAGACACGGCCCAAACUCCUACGGGAGGCAGCAGUAGGGAAUUUUCGGCAAUGGAGGAAACUCUGACCGAGCAACGCCGCGUGAAUGACGAAGUACUUCGGUAUGUAAAGUUCUUUUAUCAAGGAAGAAAAGCAAAUGGCGAACCAUUUGUUUGCCGGUACUUGAUGAAUAAGCCCCGGCUAAUUAUGUGCCAGCAGCCGCGGUAAGACAUAAGGGGCAAGUGUUAUCCGGAAUUAUUGGGCGUAAAGGGUGCGUAGGCGGUCUAGUAAGUCAGUGGUGUAAUGGCAACGCUUAACGUUGUCCGGCUAUUGAAACUGCUAAACUUGAGUUAGAUAGAGGCGAGUGGAAUUCCAUGUGUAGCGGUAAAAUGCGUAAAUAUAUGGAGGAACACCAGAGGCGUAGGCGGCUCGCUGGGUCUUAACUGACGCUGAGGCACGAAAGCGUGGGGAGCAAACAGGAUUAGAUACCCUGGUAGUCCACGCCGUAAACGAUGAGUACUAAGUGUCGGGUUAAACCGGUACUGAAGUUAACACAUUAAGUACUCCGCCUGAGUAGUACGUACGCAAGUAUGAAACUUAAAGGAAUUGACGGGACUCCGCACAAGCGGUGGAUCAUGUUGUUUAAUUUGAAGAUACCCGAAAAACCUUACCAGGUCUUGACAUGUUUUUGCAAAAUGAUAGUAAUAUCGUGGAGGUUACCAGAAACACAGGUGGUGCAUGGUUGUCGUCAGCUCGUGUCGUGAGAUGUUAGGUUAAGUCCUAAAACGAGCGAAACCCUUAUCGUUAGUUGCCAGCACGUUAUGGUGGGGACUUUAACGAGACUGCCAAUGAUAAAUUGGAGGAAGGUGAGGAUCACGUCAAAUCAGCAUGCCCCUUAUGACCUGGGCUACAAACGUGAUACAAUGGCUGUUACAAAGGGUAGCUGAAACGCAAGUUCUUGGCCAAUCCCCAAAAACAGUCCCAGUCCGGAUUGAAGUCUGCAACUCGACUUCAUGAAGUUGGAAUCGCUAGUAAUCGCGAAUCAGCAUGUCGCGGUGAAUACGUUCUCGGGGUUUGUACACACCGCCCGUCAAACCACGAAA
This 1211-nucleotide ribosomal RNA is filed under the name Bushehr sesame phyllody phytoplasma. RNAcentral's name for it is "bacterial SSU rRNA". It matches the Rfam family "Bacterial small subunit ribosomal RNA", at positions 191 to 1409 of the family's 1533-position model. The record is from RNAcentral. Lineage: Bacteria; Bacillati; Mycoplasmatota; Mollicutes; Acholeplasmatales; Acholeplasmataceae.